Phalaenopsis equestris is the source of this 1279-nucleotide RNA transcript. RefSeq lists it as uncharacterized. The record is from RefSeq and is a predicted model, not a curated record. NCBI's taxonomy places the organism in Eukaryota, Viridiplantae, Streptophyta, Magnoliopsida, Asparagales, Orchidaceae. The transcript is spliced from 5 exons.
CUGUAGGGCUUCGUGGCACUCCACCGCUAAUCUCUGCUCUUUGAGAGCGCGGCAGGAAAACUUCGCGGCCACCGCACUAGGAAUUUUCGCUAAAAGCCGGUCGCGAGAUCGCCCCGUGGCCGGCGUUCCGCAAUUCUAUUUUUGCCCAGUUGCCCUUCGAUCGUUCUGUCGUUCGAGUUAUUACGUGAAAUCAAGCUCCGCCCCUUCCCCCUCCUUCUCUCGCGUUUGUUUGUUUGUUGGUCAUCUUAUCCGACAGUUCGACAGUUCGGCUCGUUCGUCGGUCCUCUCUGGCAGUUCGGCUUGUUCGAUUUUCUUCCUUUAUCUACCCAUCAAAACGAAGACCUGUCCAUCGGUCUCCUUCCUUUUCCAUCCUCUCCCUCAAAGCUGCGCAGCCCAUCGAAAGGUCGUUGUGACCUCUGUGGAUCGAGCGUUUUAUGCCGGAAAAGAAAUUGCAAUCGAUCUCUUUGGUCAGUGGACACCUUCGACCGUGGAGAUCGAAGAAGAUUGUGUUUGUCUCUGCAGCGAAAACACUUCCAUAAAUCCUUUCUAGAACAUCUUAGUCAGCCUUCCAAAACCAAAAGGUGAGGAGUUCAAGAAAUACUUCAGCUUACGUGCUCUGAAGGAUUCAAGGAUUGGUAACUAUUUAUAUUUCAUCUUGGUGUAUAACAGGUUGCAAAUGAAGAACACUGGGAUCGACUCAAGAAGGAUUGGAAAAUUUGGAAGGAAUUGAAACGAGAAUCAACAGGCUUGGGUUGGGAUCCUGCGAAACGAACAAUUGAUGCUUCAGAUAAGUGGUGGGCUGAAAGACUUACGGUGGUGCUGGGAGCAAAGAAGUACAAAUUUUGUGGCAUUGAACCCGAGUUUGAGGAGAAGCUCAACCGAAUGUUUGAGGGUGUCAUCGCAACACGCAAAUAUGCAUGUGCUCCAAGUGAUACAAGGAUUUGUGGUACCCCUGAGAAUGUGUCUGUCAACCUAGCUUGUGAUUCACCCGAUCUCGACAGCCCGGAAAUCCCUGAAAUCAACACAAGAAACUUUUCUAAGCGUCAUCGUGUAGAGGGUAAAAAAAAGGGUGGAGAUCACUUCCUAAGCUUAAAAAAAAGCUUAAAAAACUUUUCUAAGCUUUUAGAAAUUUGAGUGUUAUAAAUGUAAGUUUUUUAUGGAGGGGAAUUCAGUUGUGAAACAUCUGAAAUGUUCCAUACAUUUGAUAUGCUUUCAAAAAUUUUCAUUCAGUUUGAAGGUAGCUAUUGUUUAUUCUGUAGAGUUCCUUUGUUUCCUCUCA